Molecule: ribosomal RNA, 253 nt
Filed under: uncultured bacterium
Lineage: Bacteria
Description: partial 16S ribosomal RNA
Rfam family: Bacterial small subunit ribosomal RNA
Source: RNAcentral
UACGUAGGGGGCAAGCGUUGUCCGGAAUCAUUGGGCGUAAAGCGCGCGUAGGCGGCCCGGUAAGUCCGCUGUGAAAGUCAAAGGCUCAACCUUUGAAAGCCGGUGGAUACUGCCGGGCUAGAGUCCGGAAGAGGCGAGUGGAAUUCCUGGUGUAGCGGUGGAAUGCGCAGAUAUCGGGAGGAACACCAAUGGCGAAGGCAGAUCUCUGGGCCGUAACUGACGCUGAGGAGCGAAAGCAUGGGGAGCGAACAGG